RNAcentral lists this ribosomal RNA (433 nucleotides) under uncultured bacterium. Its description in RNAcentral is "partial 16S ribosomal RNA". It matches the Rfam family "Bacterial small subunit ribosomal RNA", at positions 29 to 507 of the family's 1533-position model. The record is from RNAcentral.
AACGAACGCUGGCGGCAUGCCUAACACAUGCAAGUCGAACGAGACCUUCGGGUCUAGUGGCGCACGGGUGCGUAAAGCGUGGGAAUCUGCCCUUGGGUUCGGCAUAACAGUUGGAAACGACUGCUAAUACCGGAUGAUGACGUAAGUCCAAAGAUUUAUCGCCCAAGGAUGAGCCCGCGUAGGAUUAGCUAGUUGGUGAGGUAAAGGCUCACCAAGGCGACGAUCCUUAGCUGGUCUGAGAGGAUGAUCAGCCACACUGGGACUGAGACACGGCCCAGACUCGUACGGGAGGCAGCAGUGGGGAAUAUUGGAGAAUGGGCGGAAGGCUGAACCAGCUAUGUCGGGUGAGUGAUGAAGGCCUUAGGGUUGUAAAGCUCUUUUACCCGGGAUGAUAAUGACGGUACCGGGAGAAUAAGCGCCGGCUAACUCCGUG